RNAcentral lists this ribosomal RNA (347 nucleotides) under uncultured bacterium. RNAcentral describes it as "partial 16S ribosomal RNA". It matches the Rfam family "Bacterial small subunit ribosomal RNA", at positions 338 to 699 of the family's 1533-position model. The record is from RNAcentral.
CCUACGGGAGGCAGCAGUGGGGGAUAUUGGACAAUGGGGGGAACCCUGAUCCAGCGACGCCGCGUGCGUGAAGAAGUAUUUCGGUAUGUAAAGCUCUGUCAGCAGGGAAGAAAGCAAUGACGGUACCUGACCAAGAAGCCCCGGCUAACUACGUGCCAGCAGCAGCGGUAAUACGUAGGGGGCAAGCGUUAUCCGGAAUUAUUGGGUGUAAAGGGUGCGUAGGCGGCUGUGCAAGUCUGGGGUGAAAGGCGGGGGUCCAACCCCCGGACUGCUCUGGAUACUGUAUGGCUGGAGUGCAGGUGAGGUAGGCGGAAUGUAUGGUGUAGCGGUGAAAUGCGUAGAGAUUA